AAAUACAAGAGGCACAUUUCACAAUUUAAAAAAGAGACUUGGUUGAAAUCUCUGGCUAACAACCAGCUGACCAAAGAUCAGAUGAUGGUGAAAAACAAAGAGUUGGUGGGUGGCAAAUGCGAAAUCUCAUUGGUUUAACUUCAGAAACACCCAGUUCUCUUUAUUUUUCACCCAGUGUUCACAUAUUGCAUAUGACUUUGCACAUACGUAAACACCCACAGCCUACUUUCAUGGCAUAAACAUGCGCACACACAAACUUGUUUUUUGUUUUAGGAGGACAUGACAUUGAUUUACAUUCAUCCCCCUAACCUUAACCCCAAUCUUAACCUCAAACCCACUCUUAACUCAAACAUUUUCGUCACAGGAACCACACACACAGAGGUUUUUUAAGUUACUUUUGGGGUAUUUACAUGUGUGCAUUCACAUAGAUUUCCUGGAGGCUUACUUUAACAAUAACCACUACUUGCCUAACCCUAAUCCUUACCCUAACCUUAACCUAACCGUAAUCUCAACCCAAAAAACGCUGUUUAGCAAUAUUUGGACAUGGUCUCUAAUUGCACCAGACUGAUGGAUGUCCAUGGAAGUGACUUAAGUUAUAGCCACACACACAUACACACACACACGUUUGUCUUUAUAUCCUUGUGAGAACACUUAUUGGCAUUAUGCAUUCCCUCGCGCUUUACCAUCACAACUUAAUGCCUAAACCCAUCCUUAAACUGAACCUAAAUCAAAUUAAAACCAAGUCUAACCCUCAUAUUGCUCUUUGAAGUUUUGAGGACUGGCCAAAACGUCCUCACAAAUGUCAUCACAAUGCUCGUUUUCAGCUGAAAUUGGUUCUCUCAAAGAUAAAAAGACAAUUAUGUAUGCACACAAACACAGACACACACACACACACACAGAAAAACAACAAUUACAGGUAGACAGCCAGCAGGUCCUUAAACUCGUGCUUCGUGAUGCUUAUCAAAGAGGCAGAGUUCAGUGUGAUGCAACUGAGAGAAAGAUAUUUUGACAUACAUAACAAAACCUCAAACACAAGAAUAACAUAUCAGUUAACUUUUCAACACAGUAAAAUUUCUUUUGUGGUAAAAUAUCACAUGCAAUAGAAAAGGAACAAUGGAGGCAACUCAUUAUGGUCUUAUGUCCCACACAGGAUGAGGAGCAUUAGUAAGUAAAAUAUCAGAUACUGUAUUCAAUAGACUCAGUUUCUUUGCAAUGAUGUUGCUCUGUGGUCAAGGUUUAAUGACCGUACCUUAUUUUGUUGCAUGGUGGCAAAAGCCAACAGCAGCCCAAAGAGGGUGAUUUGCACCACAGUUCUCUCCAUGAUGGCUCCCACCAGAGUGAAACUCUGGCAGCUGAAACCGUCUUUUAAACUCAGACAGACGGGCAGAAUUAAUGGGUGCACCGUUUUCUAAAGGGCAGGGAACUCUCUCUCUCUCUUUCUCACUCUCUCUCCUCUUUAAACAAACCUCUCACUUGUAUACAUGCACAAACACACACAAAGCACACACACUUUCACACAAAUUUUGUAUGUUUCUCCUCUAUCAGGAACCACACAGCUAACAGGAUUUACUGGAUGAAAGGUCAGAAAUUCAAAUCAAACUUUACAAAGUUUUACUCUUGACUUUGGCCUGCGCAGUUCAAAGCUUUUCAACCAACAUUGGUUUCAAGUGA
Scomber japonicus (chub mackerel) is the source of this 1671-nucleotide long non-coding RNA. RefSeq lists it as uncharacterized. Lineage: Eukaryota; Metazoa; Chordata; Actinopteri; Scombriformes; Scombridae. The transcript has 2 exons. The record is from RefSeq and is a predicted model, not a curated record.